This is a long non-coding RNA of Dalotia coriaria, 305 nucleotides long. RefSeq lists it as uncharacterized. NCBI's taxonomy places the organism in Eukaryota, Metazoa, Arthropoda, Insecta, Coleoptera, Staphylinidae. The transcript has 2 exons. The record is from RefSeq and is a predicted model, not a curated record.
CGUUUUGAGCGCUCGCAGCACGCGAAACGUGCGCAGCCCGGCGAGAUUGCCGACCUCCAUGCCUAUCGUCGCGUACCCGCUGGAGAUGACGACAAAAUCGAGCCAAUUCCACGGAUUCCGAAGGUGUAUAUGGCUAAAAAAACAUACCUAAAACAAACAAAUUGGAAAAUAUUAAUCCUAGCAAAUAUUAUUUGUAUGUUACGCUUUCACGCAAGAACUACUGGAACAAUUUUGAGAAAAUGUGGCAUGGAGCUAACUUUAAUAUCGAAGAAUAAAAUAUGCAACAUUAUGUUUUAAAAAUAUAA